RNAcentral lists this long non-coding RNA (1161 nucleotides) under Anser cygnoides (Swan goose). RNAcentral describes it as "lncRNA (ENSACDG00005010791.1)". Lineage: Eukaryota; Metazoa; Chordata; Aves; Anseriformes; Anatidae. The record is from RNAcentral.
GGCAGAGGCACCACGCGUCCCCUAACGCCCCCGGGGCACCGCUGUGGGCAGAGAUCUGCUGGGUGCGGGAGGUUUGGGGAGUCCCCAGCAGUUUGCGAUAGUCCCCGAAAACCUUUUCGCUGGCAGCCCGUGAGUGCUGGACUCGGGUGCUCUCAAUGCUGGCAGCUCAGCGCGUUUCCAAAAUACCCCUCUGCUCGCCCCGAGGGCCCCGGAGUGGCUUUGGGACACCCACUGCCUCCCCAAAAUGCCCUCCUUUCCCGACGGAGCGGCCCUACAGGGUCUCUCCAGCACCCCACCUACGUUUUAUGUCCCUCUGGUGUCGUGCCACGACCACGGUGCGACGACAGUCAGUGCCCAGCGUGGCGGGGUCACCCCGGCCACCUGCGGCCGCGCACCGGGGGGACGCGAGCAGCCCCCGCGCACCGGGACCGCGCCGGGCAGAGGCGGCCACCCUGCUUUUUUCCUCCUUCUCCAUCACCUCCCGCAGCCGCCGGGCUGGGCUGUCGGGAAGAUGCUUCGCCACCGCGUCAAGGAGGGGGACAGGGACAGAGCGCUGGGAGAGGGCUGGUGGCAGGGGGAAAAGGGGGGAAGAAAGGAGAAAAAAGGGAAAAAAGGGGAAAAAGGGGGAAAAGGGGGAAAAAGGGAAAAAGGGGAAAAAAAGCCUGUUUCUGGGGAUUGGCCCCGCUCUGGAUCCCGGGCUGCGUGACGUGCAGCAGGACACGGAGCGCGCUGCAAGACGUGAAUCAGCUCAGGAGUGUGCGGUGACAGGGGCCACUCGAAGUCGUUUGCUCAACGACCUUGAACGCUUCUUCAGUUCAAAGACCGACCCGAAGGCUCGCCACCCGCGGGGCCGCGGGGCAGAGAGCCCGAUGCCAGCGGCGUGGCCAGGAAAUCCCCCGGAGCUUUGUCCCGGGGGCUCCGGAGUCCGGGUGCGCCCCGUCGGGGCACGGAGCCGGGCGUCUCCCGCGGGGUCCCAGCCUCCCUCCGCGGGGUCGAGGCUGCCUCCAGGCGAGCACGAAGGCUGCCCACUGCCCGGCCCCUCUCUCGGGGGAUGCCCCGGCUUCUCGGGGAGGUUUCCUCCCUCCCGGCCCGGUUUUUUAGCGCGGCCCGUCGGACGGCAGGGCUUUCCAAGAAGUCGCCGUGCAAAGCUCUUUGUUCCCC